RNAcentral lists this ribosomal RNA (460 nucleotides) under uncultured bacterium. RNAcentral's name for it is "partial 16S ribosomal RNA". It matches the Rfam family "Bacterial small subunit ribosomal RNA", at positions 338 to 795 of the family's 1533-position model. The record is from RNAcentral.
CCUACGGGGGGCAGCAGUGAGGAAUAUUUGUCAAUGGACGAGAGUCUGAACCAGCCAAGUAGCGUGAAGGAUGACUGCCCUAUGGGUUGUAAACUUCUUUUAUAUGGGAAUAAAACGUUCCACGUGUGGGAUUUUGUAUGUACCAUAUGAAUAAGGAUCGGCUAACUCCGUGCCAGCAGCCGCGGUAAUACGGAGGAUCCGAGCGUUAUCCGGAUUUAUUGGGUUUAAAGGGAGCGUAGGUGGAUUGUUAAGUCAGUUGUGAAAGUUUGCGGCUCAACCGUAAAAUUGCAGUUGAAACUGGCAGUCUUGAGUACAGUAGAGGUGGGCGGAAUGCGUGGUGUAGCGGUGAAAUGCUUAGAUAUCACGAAGAACUCCGAUUGCGAAGGCAGUUCACUGGACUGCAACUGACACUGAGGCUCGAAAGUGUGGGUAUCAAACAGGAUUAGAUACCCUUGUAGUC